Leguminivora glycinivorella is the source of this 323-nucleotide long non-coding RNA. RefSeq lists it as uncharacterized. The record is from RefSeq and is a predicted model, not a curated record. The transcript is spliced from 3 exons. Lineage: Eukaryota; Metazoa; Arthropoda; Insecta; Lepidoptera; Tortricidae.
GCGGUCUACUUAUAUACCUAAAUUGAAGGAGGUAACAGACUUUUGAUCGUGUCGAAGAAAAAGUGCAUUAUAUAGGGAAAUAGUUCAGAGGAUUGGUGGUAGAAAUAGGUAAAAAUGUUGUCUGGCAGUAAUGAAACUUUUAAUGAAGCGAUGUGACCUAUGCUGGCAUGUUACUGGAAAAGUUGUGUCUAAUUUGGCCAUCAAGUGAAGAAAAGUCAUCACAGUUUGCUGCUCCCUCUGCUGGCUCGGUCCCAAGCUGAAGAUGGAAUUGUCAGAAUCUGAAAAAGACACAUCAGACAUAAAUAAAAUAUUUUUAAUGAACA